UAACACUUCCUUUACACCGAAGAGUUACCUGUGCAAACCAGGUUAUUCUGA
This 51-nucleotide transfer RNA is filed under the name Rachovia brevis. Its description in RNAcentral is "tRNA-Val". Lineage: Eukaryota; Metazoa; Chordata; Actinopteri; Cyprinodontiformes; Rivulidae. The record is from RNAcentral.